AUUGAACGCUGGCGGCAGGCCUAACACAUGCAAGUCGAGCGGAUGAAGGGAGCUUGCUCCUGGAUUCAGCGGCGGACGGGUGAGUAAUGCCUAGGAAUCUGCCUGGUAGUGGGGGAUAACGUCCGUAAACGGGCGCUAAUACCGCAUACGUCCAGAGGGAGAAAGUGGGGGAUCUUCGGACCUCACGCUAUCAGAUGAGCCUAGGUCGGAUUAGCUAGUUGGUGGGGUAAAGGCCUACCAAGGCGACGAUCCGUAACUGGUCUGAGAGGAUGAUCAGUCACACUGGAACUGAGACACGGUCCAGACUCCUACGGGAGGCAGCAGUGGGGAAUAUUGGACAAUGGGCGAAAGCCUGAUCCAGCCAUGCCGCGUGUGUGAAGAAGGUCUUCGGAUUGUAAAGCACUUUAAGUUGGGAGGAAGGGCAGUAAGUUAAUACCUUGCUGUUUUGACGUUACCAACAGAAUAAGCACCGGCUAACUUCGUG
Molecule: ribosomal RNA, 484 nt
Filed under: uncultured bacterium
Lineage: Bacteria
Description: partial 16S ribosomal RNA
Rfam family: Bacterial small subunit ribosomal RNA
Source: RNAcentral